RNAcentral lists this unclassified non-coding RNA (1208 nucleotides) under Hevea brasiliensis (rubber tree). The record is from RNAcentral. Lineage: Eukaryota; Viridiplantae; Streptophyta; Magnoliopsida; Malpighiales; Euphorbiaceae.
UCCCUUUCUCCCAUUUCACGCCUCUCUCUCUUUUUUAAAUUGUAUUCUUUUUCUUCUUGCCUUGCAUUACAUCUUCUCAUUUCACAGAACUAGCAUCAUCCGUCAGUACCAUAUUGACAUACCUAUAGUUACCGCGAGCGACUUCUGGUGGAUUACGUGUCCAGUCGUCCACGGCCAAGAGGGAAAAUUGCUUGUCAAUUUGAGUUUGGAUUUCUACGACUAGGAGGAGGAGAGCAGGUGGCCAGACAAACACCAGUCCAAUUGAAUAUUCUUCACCCAUUUCCAGAAACUACACUUGUAUCCGAUCGUUUUGAGAGUUCACAGGAGUCUUGUUUCGACCUGCCUUGAGGCAAUGUUCAAUUUGCUAGAGGUUCGAUUGAUUUCUGCUACUAUACUCGCCUUCAUAAUAGUAAAAAUCUGUAGACGUGGUUGUUCUUGGUUCCAGUUUGUACCUAGGAUGGGAUGCGGAAACAUUUAUGGAAGGCGGGUGAGAGUGUUUGCUGUGGCUUCAAUGAUCUACCUGGAUUAUAAGGCUGUAGAGCAAAUAAAUAAAUGGACCAUCGACUCCAAAAGAGCUGCACUGUGGGAUAAGACUCAUGAACGCAAUGCUAAGCGUCUUCUCAACUUGAUCAUAGAAUUGGAAGGUUUGUGGGUAAAACUUGGACAGUACUUAUCCACACGUGCUGAUGUUUUUCCUUAUGCAUAUAUAUCAAUUCUCAAGCAGUUACAGGACUCUCUUCCUCCUCGUCCCGUGCAAGAGGUUUGUCAUACUAUAGAGAAUGAAUUGGGGAAAUCCGUGGAUGAUCUUUUCUCAUAUUUUAAUCGAACUCCUUUGGCAACAGCAUCAAUUGCACAAGUCCAUCGUGCAACGCUUAUUAAUGGGAAGGAGGUGGUCGUUAAAGUUCAACAUGAGGGCAUUAAGUCAGUGAUAUUGGAGGACUUAAAGAAUGCCAAGUCAAUUGUUGACUGGAUAGCGUGGGCAGAACCACAGUAUGACUUUAAUCCCAUCAUGGAUGAAUGGUGCAAAGAAGUUCCGAAAGAACUUGACUUCAAUAUUGAAGCCGAGAAUACGAGAACCGUUGCCAGUAAUCUUGGCUGUAGAAAGAACAAUGACGAUAACAAGCUUGCAAAAUCAGUGGAUGUUCUGAUUCCAGAGGUUAUUCAGUCAACUGAAAAGGUCCUAAUUUUAGAGUAUAUGGAUGGGAUUC